AUAUCAGUCAUGCAUAGCAUAUCAAUAAGCGGAGGAAAAGAAACUAACAAGGAUUCCCUUAGUAACGGCGAGUGAAGCGGGAAGAGCUCAAAUUUCGAAAUCUUCAAGGUUUUACCUUGACGAAUUGUAGUUUAAAGAAGUGUUUUCUGUUGAAGUUUUGGUAAAAGUUCUUUGGAAUAGGACAUCAUAGAGGGUGAGAAUCCCGUAUUUGACCAUUACUUUCAGCUUUGUGAUACACUUUCAAAGAGUCGGAUUGUUUGGGAAUGCAGUCCAAAAUGGGUGGUAAAUUUCAUCUAAAGCUAAAUAUUGGCGAGAGACAGAUAGCGAACAAGUACCGUGAGGGAAAGAUGAAAAGAACUUUGAAAAGAGAGUUAAACAGUACGUGAAAUUGUCAAAAGGGAAGCGUUUGACACCAGUGUUGUUUUCUCGAAAAUCAAUUAAAAAGAGUUGGAUUUUGUGUUGUAUUGACUUUAUCAGCUUUCUUCACUCUUUUCCAGCUUUUUUUAAUGCACUUUUCGUUUAACAAGUCAACAUCAGUUUCUUUUGUUGUAAAAAGGUCAUUGGAAGGUGGCUUUCUCUUCGGAGAAAGUGUUUAUAGCCUUUGACUCAUGCAAUCGGAGAGACUGAGGUCUGCAGCGUAGAUCCUUCGGGGUUAGAUACAUUUGUGCUAAGUUAUAACUUUUCAUAGACAACUUGUUGACUAUGUUUAGUCUUGUAGCUUACUCGCUUAUGCUAUUUUACCUACGCUUAGGAUGUUGAACUCUAUCACACACA
RNAcentral lists this ribosomal RNA (774 nucleotides) under uncultured Neocallimastigales. Its description in RNAcentral is "partial large subunit ribosomal RNA". It matches the Rfam family "Eukaryotic large subunit ribosomal RNA", at positions 22 to 615 of the family's 3401-position model. Lineage: Eukaryota; Fungi; Neocallimastigomycota; Neocallimastigomycetes; Neocallimastigales. The record is from RNAcentral.